GAGUUUGAUCCUGGCUCAGAUUGAACGCUGGCGGCAUGCCUUACACAUGCAAGUCGAACGGCAGCACGGGAGCUUGCUCCUGGUGGCGAGUGGCGAACGGGUGAGUAAUGCAUCGGAACGUAUCCUGGAGUGGGGGAUAACGUAGCGAAAGUUACGCUAAUACCGCAUAUUCUGUGAGCAGGAAAGCGGGGGACCUUCGGGCCUCGCGCUCUUGGAGCGGCCGAUGUCGGAUUAGCUAGUUGGUGAGGUAAAGGCUCACCAAGGCGACGAUCCGUAGCAGGUCUGAGAGGAUGAUCUGCCACACUGGAACUGAGACACGGUCCAGACUCCUACGGGAGGCAGCAGUGGGGAAUUUUGGACAAUGGGGGCAACCCUGAUCCAGCCAUGCCGCGUGAGUGAAGAAGGCCUCGGCGUGUAAGACGUCUUUCGUCGAGGGAAGGAAAGUUAGUCACCGGACCGAAGUAACCUACGGU
RNAcentral lists this ribosomal RNA (473 nucleotides) under bacterium enrichment culture clone ALO1_GLFRUDD03GW0QE. RNAcentral describes it as "bacterial SSU rRNA". It matches the Rfam family "Bacterial small subunit ribosomal RNA", at positions 9 to 476 of the family's 1533-position model. The record is from RNAcentral.